Sinocyclocheilus grahami is the source of this 710-nucleotide long non-coding RNA. RefSeq lists it as uncharacterized. The record is from RefSeq and is a predicted model, not a curated record. NCBI's taxonomy places the organism in Eukaryota, Metazoa, Chordata, Actinopteri, Cypriniformes, Cyprinidae. The transcript has 3 exons.
AGUUACUUUCAACUAACUGUUGGGACGCAGCGCGGACUACACACACUAACAGAACAAACUCUCUUCAUGAGUUUUGUGACAUUGUGUGUGGACAUAUUCUGGUGAAGUCGGAGCAGACUAUAGUGCCAGAACGGAAGAAAGACUGAAGGAAGUUUAACAAACGCCGAGGCGGUGAAUCACAUUUUCCAUGAAGAUGUACAAUGAAUAAUCGACUUUCAUAAAGCCGCUUUUUUGAGUUUUGCGUCGAAACAAUCAAACGCGACGUCUUAAGACUUUUUUCGUUCUUUGGAAUAUUUAAGAACGCUUUACAGAUAGCGAUAUUUUAAUAGUCUAAUCGAUGGUCUACAGUUUUCAUGUAUAUAGUUUCAUGUAUAUACAUUUGUAAACAAAACCGAGAUAGUAUAUUUUCGCCAUGUAGCUUUUUUCCCCCACGAUUCUGAGAUGGUUGUGUUGUGGGUUUGUGUCGUGGGAGGAAUGUGAGUGGAAGUGUCGCUCAUGGAGCUUCAGGUGGUGUGCGGAGUGCUCUACUGCUGCCUGCUGCCCAUCUUUUUACUGGCAGCCUGCAUAUUUCGCUACAACGCUCUCUCUUUAGUCUACCUUCUGUACCUGCUGCUAUUACCGUGGUUUCAAUGGCCCAACAAACACACACUACGAGUAGGGUCUGGAACUCCAGACUAGCAGUCGUUUUGCCAAACCACAGCUUGACUGAC